This 98-nucleotide transfer RNA is filed under the name Desulfoprunum sp. RNAcentral's name for it is "tRNA-Sec". It matches the Rfam family "Selenocysteine transfer RNA". The record is from RNAcentral. Lineage: Bacteria; Pseudomonadati; Thermodesulfobacteriota; Desulfobulbia; Desulfobulbales; Desulfobulbaceae.
GGAAGUGGACAGGGCACUGGUGGCCUUCCCGGACUUCAAAUCCGGUGUAGCGGGUUAAUAGCCUGUUAGGUGGGUUCGAUUCCCAUGCACUUCCGCCA